Molecule: ribosomal RNA, 482 nt
Filed under: uncultured bacterium
Lineage: Bacteria
Description: partial 16S ribosomal RNA
Rfam family: Bacterial small subunit ribosomal RNA
Source: RNAcentral
AUUGAACGCUGGCGGCAUGCCUUACACAUGCAAGUCGAACGGUAACGGGCCUUCGGGUGCCGACGAGUGGCGAACGGGUGAGUAAUACAUCGGAACGUGCCCGACCGUGGGGGAUAACGAGGCGAAAGCUUUGCUAAUACCGCAUACGAUCUACGGAUGAAAGCAGGGGACCGCAAGGCCUUGCGCGGACGGAGCGGCCGAUGGCAGAUUAGGUAGUUGGUGGGAUAAAAGCUUACCAAGCCGACGAUCUGUAGCUGGUCUGAGAGGAUGAUCAGCCACACUGGGACUGAGACACGGCCCAGACUCCUACGGGAGGCAGCAGUGGGGAAUUUUGGACAAUGGGCGCAAGCCUGAUCCAGCCAUGCCGCGUGCAGGAUGAAGGCCUUCGGGUUGUAAAAUGCUUUUGUACGGAACGAAAAGCCUUCUUUUAAUACAGGAGGGUCAUGACGGUACCGUAAGAAUAAGCACCGGCUAACUACGUG